Molecule: ribosomal RNA, 253 nt
Filed under: uncultured bacterium
Lineage: Bacteria
Description: partial 16S ribosomal RNA
Rfam family: Bacterial small subunit ribosomal RNA
Source: RNAcentral
UACGUAGGGUGCAAGCGUUGUCCGGAUUUAUUGGGCGUAAAGAGCUCGUAGGCGGUCUGUCGCGUCGGUUGUGAAAACCCGGGGCUCAACCCCGGGCCUGCAUUCGAUACGGGCAGACUAGAGUUCGGUAGGGGAGUCUGGAAUUCCUGGUGUAGCGGUGAAAUGCGCAGAUAUCAGGAGGAACACCGGUGGCGAAGGCGGGACUCUGGGCCGAUACUGACGCUGAGGAGCGAAAGCGUGGGGAGCAAACAGG